UAGGGAAUCUUCCACAAUGGACGCAAGUCUGAUGGAGCAACGCCGCGUGAGUGAAGAAGGUUUUUGGAUCGUAAAGCUCUGUUGUUGGUGAAGAAGGAUAGAGGUAGUAACUGGCCUUUAUUUGACGGUAAUCAACCAGAAAGUCACGGCUAACUACGUGCCAGCAGCCGCGGUAAUACGUAGGUGGCAAGCGUUGUCCGGAUUUAUUGGGCGUAAAGCGAGCGCAGGCGGAAGAAUAAGUCUGAUGUGAAAGCCCUCGGCUUAACCGAGGAACUGCAUCGGAAACUGUUUUUCUUGAGUGCAGAAGAGGAGAGUGGAACUCCAUGUGUAGCGGUGGAAUGCGUAGAUAUAUGGAAGAACACCAGUGGCGAAGGCGACUCUCUGGUCUGCAACUGACGCUGAGGCUCGAAAGCAUGGGUAGCGAACAGG
RNAcentral lists this ribosomal RNA (429 nucleotides) under Bacillota bacterium. RNAcentral describes it as "Firmicutes bacterium partial 16S ribosomal RNA". It matches the Rfam family "Bacterial small subunit ribosomal RNA", at positions 355 to 776 of the family's 1533-position model. The record is from RNAcentral. Lineage: Bacteria; Bacillati; Bacillota.